Molecule: ribosomal RNA, 456 nt
Filed under: Microcystis aeruginosa
Lineage: Bacteria; Bacillati; Cyanobacteriota; Cyanophyceae; Chroococcales; Microcystaceae
Also listed under: 1 other name
Description: bacterial SSU rRNA
Rfam family: Bacterial small subunit ribosomal RNA
Source: RNAcentral
ACUUCAGGACGGGGACAACAGUUGGAAACGACUGCUAAUACCCGAUGUGCCGCAAGGUGAAACCUAAUUGGCCUGGAGAAGAGCUUGCGUCUGAUUAGCUAGUUGGUGGGUAAAGGCCUACCAAGGCGACGAUCAGUAGCUGGUCUGAGAGGAUGAGCAGCCACACUGGGACUGAGACACGGCCCAGACUCCUACGGGAGGCAGCAGUGGGGAAUUUUCCGCAAUGGGCGAAAGCCUGACGGAGCAACGCCGCGUGAGGGAGGAAGGUCUUUGGAUUGUAAACCUCUUUUCUCAAGGAAGAAGUUCUGACGGUACUUGAGGAAUCAGCCUCGGCUAACUCCGUGCCAGCAGCCGCGGUAAUACGGGGGAGGCAAGCGUUAUCCGGAAUUAUUGGGCGUAAAGCGUCCGCAGGUGGUCAGCCAAGUCUGCCGUCAAAUCAGGUUGCUUAACGACCUA